This 253-nucleotide ribosomal RNA is filed under the name uncultured bacterium. Its description in RNAcentral is "partial 16S ribosomal RNA". It matches the Rfam family "Bacterial small subunit ribosomal RNA", at positions 524 to 776 of the family's 1533-position model. The record is from RNAcentral.
UACGUAGGGGGCAAGCGUUGUCCGGAAUCAUUGGGCGUAAAGCGCGUGUAGGCGGUUCGGUAAGUCGGCUGUGAAAGUCCAGGGCUCAACCCUGGGAUGCCGGUCGAUACUGCCGGACUAGAGUUCGGAAGAGGCGAGUGGAAUUCCUGGUGUAGCGGUGAAAUGCGCAGAUAUCAGGAAGAACACCUAUGGCGAAAGCAGCUCUCUGGGACGGUACUGACGCUGAGACGCGAAAGCGUGGGGAGCGAACAGG